UCCCUGGUGGCUCAGAGGGUAAAGCGUCUGCCUACAAUGCAGGAGACCUGGGUUCGAUCCCUGGGUUGGGAA
Molecule: transfer RNA, 72 nt
Organism: Ovis aries (sheep)
Lineage: Eukaryota; Metazoa; Chordata; Mammalia; Artiodactyla; Bovidae
Rfam family: tRNA
About the family: Transfer RNA (tRNA) molecules are approximately 80 nucleotides in length. Their secondary structure includes four short double-helical elements and three loops (D, anti-codon, and T loops).
Source: Rfam